CCCCCGGUUUCCCCCAGUGCUGUACUGUCCGGAGAUAAAGGACCUGGCCCGCAUGAGCCGCUGCACGCUGUGACCGCGGAGCCCAAAGCCGCGCGGAAGGAAGGUGCUGUUCCAGAAUGCCUUUGUUUUCCGAGAGGAUGUGUCUUGUGAGUGUGAGCGCGGCAAGAACAGUGACUGCCUUGUGAGUGUUGUAUGUCCAGGCCGAACAGUGGUGGUGAACAUGUAUGUGUCCUCAAUAAACGUUUGUUGGAUUUA
Molecule: non-coding RNA, 255 nt
Organism: Leptonychotes weddellii (Weddell seal)
Lineage: Eukaryota; Metazoa; Chordata; Mammalia; Carnivora; Phocidae
Source: RefSeq, a predicted model, not a curated record